CGGAAGCGGGUGCCGGUUGGCUGGGGACGUUUAUCACCAUGGCGACAGCGGCCGGGGGGCGGUGCUCGCUGUCCAGCUUUGAAAGAAGCAUGCUUCUGUGACACUUGGCAUUCGAAAAAGGCUCCAGAGGCGAUGACAAGUGACAAGAAGAGCUGCGGAAGUGCGGGUCCAAUGAAGCCAUGUCAGGAAGUCUUUGGUUUCUGGGCUGAAAGAUGAGGAAGGCACGCACGGGGAUAUUGGGACUAGGACAGUAAAGAAAUCCUCCAAAACGCUCUGGGUGUACUCGAAGGUAGGACGAUCCUCUGGUUUAGUCUUCCAGCAUCUCAUCAUAAUGUCAUACAGCUCUUCUGGGCAGUUCUCUGUGCGUGGCAUCCGGUACCCGUGAUCCAGGGCCCUGAUCACCUCCACGCUUGACAUCCCUAGAGAAACAGGGCAGGGUAGAAGCCUGCGUGAAUACUUGAUGGGUUGUUUAAAAGGCAAAAAUCCAGCAUUCUACUGGCAUUGUCCAAAGGGUGGAGGAAAAGGACAGGUUAGAGGAGCAAGGGUGAGGGAAGAAGUCAUUUUACUCCUUUUCUGGGAAAGAUGCAAACAAGUGAGAUGCUGAGAUAUUUGUUGCUGCAACAAUCAGUUUUGUAACCCAGCUGAGCAAAUUAGAUGGGAACUGUAAUCAUUUUGUAUAAAAUUCCAAAAAAUAAAUGCCAAACUUUUCUGUCUACUGA
Molecule: long non-coding RNA, 719 nt
Organism: Rhea pennata
Lineage: Eukaryota; Metazoa; Chordata; Aves; Rheiformes; Rheidae
Exons: 4
Source: RefSeq, a predicted model, not a curated record